This 252-nucleotide ribosomal RNA is filed under the name uncultured bacterium. RNAcentral's name for it is "partial 16S ribosomal RNA". It matches the Rfam family "Bacterial small subunit ribosomal RNA", at positions 524 to 776 of the family's 1533-position model. The record is from RNAcentral.
UACGUAGGGUGCGAGCGUUAAUCGGAAUUACUGGGCGUAAAGCGUGCGCAGGCGGUCUGUUAAGACAGAUGUGAAAUCCCCGGGCUUAACCUGGGAACUGCAUUUGUGACUGGCAGGCUAGAGUAUGGCAGAGGGGGGUAGAAUUCACGUGUAGCAGUGAAAUGCGUAGAGAUGUGGAGGAAUACCGAUGGCGAAGGCAGCCCCCUGGGCCAAUACUGACGCUCAUGCACGAAAGCGUGGGGAGCAAACAGG